AAUUAGAUGUAUGAUUUGUUAAAAAAAACGUUUUAUCUUUAUUUAAUCAACCUUUUAUAUGAUAUUAAGAUAAACAUUUAUUUAAAGUGCCAUUGAUUUGUAGAAUAGAGCAUGUUUGAAUCUUUUAAACAUGAGUGAGUUCAUUACAAAGAAUUUAAAGUUAAAGAAUAUUACAUUUAAUUUGUUUAAUAGAGUUAUAUUAACAUAUAAUAUUUUAUUCCAAUUGCUGUUGUAUAUGCUAAUGGAAUGUAUGUUACAAAGUAAAUGUUAUUUUUAGUGAUGAGAAGGUAUUUCACUAUGGUUUAUUUUAACAAUAUAAAUAAAUUAUUACAUUGUGAGUUACUGUAUGACAAGAGUAUAAAGAUUGUUUGGGAAGGAGUGGGUUUGAGGGGGUGGAUGUUAGCCAGAUGUGGGUGUGGUGCAAGGAGUGGAUGGGGGUGUGCCAACCAGGUGUGGGUGUGGUGGAAGGAGUGGACGGGGGUGUGUCAACCAGGUGUGGGAGUGGCAGAUUUCUAGUCAAAAGCUGGUGUUGGUCAACUGGUCAGAUUAGUCAGUUGCUUUUGGAGGGAAGGUGCACUGCGAAUUUCUCCUGCUGUUGCUGAAGGGAUUUUAUCAGAGACAACUUCCAACUUCCAGACUACUCUUCCAACACUCUUUAUCCAAGGUAUGUGAUCUUUGUUUUGGCUGUAUGGUUUAAUUACAAUUAUUCUAAAUUUGUUCUAAAUUAGUAGUGGGUUCUUUGCUGUUGCUCUGCUGGUAUUAUUGUAGUUCAGAAGACAUUAUGUAAUAAAGGUUAAUUUUUUUGUUGAUAAAUUGUUUAAAAUUAAUUAUUUUUUAUUAUCAUAUAACAGGGAUUUCUGCUGCUGCUGAAGUAAUAUCCCCAGUGACAACUUUAAUCUACAAAGAGUCUAAGUGCAAGAUGCCACGGAAAAAGUCAUUCAGAAUGAGGCGUGCGCCCAAGACUGUGAGUACUGUGGUUGAUGUGCAGUGCUGCUGCGAUUCUAAAUUAGUUGGUGGAUUGGUGUGUGGUACCAAGCAUUUCAGGUUGCUCGACAGAAACAAUGAAAGAACAGAGAUUUGUAGUGUUUUAGGUCUUAUUAGGCAUAAAGUGUCAAAUGUGUGUACUUGGAAGGCUGGUGUGAUGGAUUCAAUUUGUGAUGAAGGAAGGAUACUUUUGGAGGAGAGGAAACCUACAAAGGGUUUGGCUGGUAGAUAUAAUGCUUUCAGCAGAGUGGCUGAU
Long non-coding RNA from Astyanax mexicanus (Mexican tetra), 1240 nucleotides. RefSeq lists it as uncharacterized. Lineage: Eukaryota; Metazoa; Chordata; Actinopteri; Characiformes; Acestrorhamphidae. The transcript is spliced from 3 exons. The record is from RefSeq and is a predicted model, not a curated record.